This is a non-coding RNA of Notechis scutatus (mainland tiger snake), 404 nucleotides long. Lineage: Eukaryota; Metazoa; Chordata; Lepidosauria; Squamata; Elapidae. The record is from RefSeq and is a predicted model, not a curated record.
CUUUGCAAGGUACGAUGGCCCCUUAGAUGUGCGGAGGCACCCCAGAGGCCGCAAAAAUUAAGCCCUGAAGACAGAAACCAGCAGGCAAAGAAGGCCUGCGAGUGAGGACUUCACUAAAAGGCAUUUUAAGACCAACGCGGCAGGAGAAAGGAGACAGGAGGUCAGUCGCCCAGCGGGACAAAGGGGCAACGCUUGUUGCUGGCUUUGGUGGCGGCUUUUCCAGUUUCUUCCCCUCUGAUGGAUGGCAUUUGCAAGAGAACUCAGCCAAAGGAACUAAGAUUCCCAGGAAGCAAACUUGCGCGCCAGGCUUGGGAGUCUGAUUAGACACCUCAGAGUCAAUCUUAAACACUCAAAGAACCACAAAGAUCUUAACCGCAAGCCCCCCAUUCAAUUCUGGAGCCGAC